Molecule: non-coding RNA, 91 nt
Filed under: unclassified sequences
Source: RNAcentral
GUAACUCUGCCGCCGGGUAGAGAAUGAAUCAGGCGUUCGAUUUUCACAUCUUUAGGCCUUAGUAGAUGUGGAUAGUCGGACGCUUUUUUAU